Molecule: unclassified non-coding RNA, 161 nt
Filed under: soil metagenome
Description: partial internal transcribed spacer 1
Source: RNAcentral
AAGAGACGUUGCCCUUCGGGGUAUACCUCCCACCCUUUGUUUAUUAUACCUUUGUUGCUUUGGCGGGCUCGUCCUCGGACCGCCGGCUUCUGCUGGUCAGUGCCCGCCAGAGGACCUAAAACUCUGUUUGUUAAUAUUGUCUGAGUACUAUAUAAUAGUUA